Ribosomal RNA from Ochotona princeps (American pika), 114 nucleotides. The record is from Ensembl. Lineage: Eukaryota; Metazoa; Chordata; Mammalia; Lagomorpha; Ochotonidae.
UUGUCUGGUCAUACCAUAGUGAAAGUGCCCAAUCUCUCAUGUCUGACCUUGGAAGCUAAGCAGGGUCAGGUCUGGUUAGUACUUGGAUGGGAGAAAAUCUUAGCUCAACUCAGU